CUCUCGGCAACGGAUAUCUAGGCUCUCGCAUCGAUGAAGAACGUAGCGAAAUGCGAUACUUGGUGUGAAUUGCAGAAUCCCGCGAAUCAUCGAGUUUUUGAACGCAAGUUGCGCCCGAAGCCAUUCGGCUGAGGGCACGUCUGCCUGGGUGUCACGCAUCGUUG
Molecule: ribosomal RNA, 164 nt
Filed under: Quercus dentata
Lineage: Eukaryota; Viridiplantae; Streptophyta; Magnoliopsida; Fagales; Fagaceae
Also listed under: 2 other names
Description: 5.8S ribosomal RNA
Rfam family: 5.8S ribosomal RNA
About the family: 5.8S ribosomal RNA (5.8S rRNA) is a component of the large subunit of the eukaryotic ribosome.
Source: RNAcentral